RNAcentral lists this ribosomal RNA (466 nucleotides) under Vreelandella stevensii. RNAcentral describes it as "partial 16S ribosomal RNA". It matches the Rfam family "Bacterial small subunit ribosomal RNA", at positions 338 to 795 of the family's 1533-position model. Lineage: Bacteria; Pseudomonadati; Pseudomonadota; Gammaproteobacteria; Oceanospirillales; Halomonadaceae. The record is from RNAcentral.
CCUACGGGUGGGCAGCAGUGGGGAAUAUUGGACAAUGGGGGGAACCCUGAUCCAGCCAUGCCGCGUGUGUGAAGAAGGCCCUCGGGUUGUAAAGCACUUUCAGUGAGGAAGAACGCCUGGUGGUUAAUACCCAUCAGGAAAGACAUCACUCACAGAAGAAGCACCGGCUAACUCCGUGCCAGCAGCCGCGGUAAUACGGAGGGUGCGAGCGUUAAUCGGAAUUACUGGGCGUAAAGCGCGCGUAGGUGGCUUGAUAAGCCGGUUGUGAAAGCCCCGGGCUCAACCUGGGAACGGCAUCCGGAACUGUCAAGCUAGAGUGCAGGAGAGGAAGGUAGAAUUCCCGGUGUAGCGGUGAAAUGCGUAGAGAUCGGGAGGAAUACCAGUGGCGAAGGCGGCCUUCUGGACUGACACUGACACUGAGGUGCGAAAGCGUGGGUAGCAAACAGGAUUAGAUACCCCGGUAGUC